UGUUAAAAAUUUUCAUCAUUUUUUCCCAUUUAAAAAUUAGCAUGGUUGACAGAGUAACUAAAUAGUACAUGUACCUCAUUUUAACGUACGUAGAUCAGUUUUUAAAUAAUAGAAAUAAAUGAAAUUUUUAACA
Gossypium raimondii (Peruvian cotton) is the source of this 133-nucleotide non-coding RNA. NCBI's taxonomy places the organism in Eukaryota, Viridiplantae, Streptophyta, Magnoliopsida, Malvales, Malvaceae. The record is from Rfam.